RNAcentral lists this ribosomal RNA (500 nucleotides) under uncultured Verrucomicrobiota bacterium. RNAcentral's name for it is "bacterial SSU rRNA". It matches the Rfam family "Bacterial small subunit ribosomal RNA", at positions 355 to 846 of the family's 1533-position model. The record is from RNAcentral. Lineage: Bacteria; Pseudomonadati; Verrucomicrobiota.
UCGAGAAUUUUUCACAAUGGGCGCAAGUCUGAUGGAGCGACGCCGCGUGGGGGAUGAAUGGCUUCGGCCCGUAAACCCCUGUCAUUUGCGAUCAAACCUUACGGCCCAAUACGUCGUAAGUUGAUGGUAGCGAAAGAGGAAGGGACGGCUAACUCUGUGCCAGCAGCCGCGGUAAUACAGAGGUCCCAAGCGUUGUUCGGAUUCACUGGGCGUAAAGGGUGCGUAGGCGGUCGGGUAAGUCUGACGUGAAAUCUCCAAGCUCAACUUGGAAAUGGCGUCGGAUACUAUCCGGCUCGAGGAAUGGAGGGGAGACUGGAAUACUUGGUGUAGCAGUGAAAUGCGUAGAUAUCAAGUGGAACACCAGUGGCGAAGGCGAGUCUCUGGACAUUUCCUGACGCUGAGGCACGAAAGCCAGGGGAGCAAACGGGGAUUAGAUACCCCGGUAGUCCUGGCCCUAAACGGUGCACGUUUGCUGUAAGAGGAUUCGACCCCUUUUGUGG